Pelobates cultripes (western spadefoot toad) is the source of this 291-nucleotide non-coding RNA. The record is from the annotation of a GenBank genome assembly. NCBI's taxonomy places the organism in Eukaryota, Metazoa, Chordata, Amphibia, Anura, Pelobatidae.
UUUUGAGCACAAUAAACCAAAGAAUGUAAUUUUAUAUGUACCAGCUUAGCCAUGUUAUAUGAUAACGCAAGCUUGCCCUGACUAGCUUGCCUAACAGAGGAGGACCCACACGAGUCCCCUGCUGUACAGCAUGGCGUCAGUGUGAGGCUGGCUUGUUUUUUGAUGCCCCUAAACCUGAAGCGGAGUCGGUUAACCUAGCCGCACGGAUGUCUCGAUACAAUAAUAUUGUAAUGUUGAUAACAUGCUGUACACGCAGCCAUAACUGGGAGCAGCCCUUGGGCCCACAACCAC